GAUGAACGCUGGCGGCGUGCCUAAUACAUGCAAGUCGAGCGAACGGACGAGAAGCUUGCUUCUCUGAUGUUAGCGGCGGACGGGUGAGUAACACGUGGAUAACCUACCUAUAAGACUGGGAUAACUUCGGGAAACCGGUGCUAAUACCGGAUAAUAUUUUGAACCGCAUGGUUCAAAAGUGACAGACGGUCUUGCUGUCACUUAUCGAUGGAUCCGCGCUGCAUUAGCUAGUUGGUAAGGUAACGGCUUACCAAGGCGACGAUGCAUAGCCGACCUGAGAGGGUGAUCGGCCACACUGGAACUGAGACACGGUCCAGACUCCUACGGGAGGCAGCAGUAGGGAAUCUUCCGCAAUGGGCGAAAGCCUGACGGAGCAACGCCGCGUGAGUGAUGAAGGUCUUCGGAUCGUAAAACUCUGUUAUUAGGGAAGAACAUAUGUGUAAGUAACUGUGCACAUCUUGACGGUACCUAAUCAGAAAGCCACGGCUAACUACGUG
RNAcentral lists this ribosomal RNA (497 nucleotides) under uncultured bacterium. RNAcentral's name for it is "partial 16S ribosomal RNA". It matches the Rfam family "Bacterial small subunit ribosomal RNA", at positions 28 to 507 of the family's 1533-position model. The record is from RNAcentral.